AUUCAGACUUUAGUGCUUUAGAUCAGGCAUAAAAACAAGGUUAUAUAAAUAUAAACUAUACUGUGUGAUUCAUUGUGAUCGAUCAGAGGAGGAGCUGAUCCACAAGGAGGAGGAGCUACAGCAACAGGAGGAGGAGCUUAAACAGAAGGAGGAGGAGCUACAGCAACAGAAGGAGGAGCUUAAACAGAAUGAGGAGGAGCUACAACAGAAAGAGGAGGAGCUGCAACAUAAAAAGGAGGGGCUACAGCAGAAAGAGGAGGAGCUACAGCAGAAAGAGGAGGAGCUGCAACAUAAAGAGGAGGAGCGUGGGGUGAAAGAGGAGGAACUGAACAGGACAGAGGAGCAGCAGGAGGACAGAAGGGAGGACGAGUCUUUCUAUCUGUCUACAGCUGGUCUGAGAUCAGCCUUCAGCUCUGAGGAGGACAGGUGGACGGUGGAGCUGCAGAGAGAAAAACUGAGACAAGAAGAGGACGAACUGAAGGCUCGUCUGCGCUGCAGUCUGUGGACGCAGCAGGACAAUCUGACGGUGAGACGGCUGGAGACAGAGGACACUUUACUGGGACUGAGACACAGACUGGACCAGCUGGACUCCCUGCUCACACACACACACACACACACACACACACAGCUUUAAUUAAUCAGUACGGAGACACAUGAGACAUGUCUGUCCACUCUGAGGACAAACUGUCUCCUGCAGGUUCAUUCAGCUUUAAGAGGAAAACUCGAGCACUUUUUCAGCACUUUCAAAGUUUCUAAACCAAACAUUUCCAGACUCUUAAACAUUUUAUCAUCACAUCGACAUUUGACUGAAUAUCUGCAGAAAAUAAAGAGAAACAUUCACAUUUACAGGAUUUAUUGUUCUUUUCUCUGGGCAGAGGGAAAACAUGUAACAUUUGAGGUUUUAUACUUAAGAAAAAGAAAUGCUUUGAAUGUUAAUUGCAAAUAAAAAGUUAUUUUUGUGUCUUUAUUUUGCAUCAAACGAAACAGAUUUCAUAUCAAAACUGUCAACAGUGAAAUCAAAAUGUUUUUUCUGCAGGUAAAAAACACUGUGAUAAAAAU
Centropristis striata (black sea bass) is the source of this 1059-nucleotide long non-coding RNA. RefSeq lists it as uncharacterized. The record is from RefSeq and is a predicted model, not a curated record. The transcript has 4 exons. Lineage: Eukaryota; Metazoa; Chordata; Actinopteri; Perciformes; Serranidae.